This is a long non-coding RNA of Gallus gallus (chicken), 557 nucleotides long. The record is from Ensembl. Lineage: Eukaryota; Metazoa; Chordata; Aves; Galliformes; Phasianidae.
ACCUCACUGUCCUUUUACUGGAAGCAGAGAAUGGUCAUUCCUUCAUACCUACCUUCUUCCCUCUUUGCACUCUGCCCAUUCCCUUCCAGUCUGAGUUGCUCUACUGAGUUGCCCUAGGUGCUGGUUGGUAUACUGUCCUCUAUUUUUACCUAUUUCACAUUUCUUCACAUAUUUUCCACCCCACCUUUUCUCUCUAUUUUUACUCCUUGGCCUUCUCCUUCUUGCACAACUCUCAGUAUACUUUUGUCCCGCAAAAAUUAUCUAGCUUAGUCAUCUUCUCUCCUCCUAGGGUACCCAUUAAGUUACCACUCAAAUCAGUCUCCAUUGCUCUCCACAAAGUGAUGGCUGCAUCCAGCCAUGUCAAGUAACACAAAAUUAAAGAAAAUAAAACAAAACAAAUCAGAAGAUAUAGAAAAAAGGGGUUAUUUGAAUUCGAUGCUCCCAUUCCCUGAAAUCAUUGCACCUCCAGGCAAAUUAAGAGAAACAAGAAAAGCAGGAUUUGGAAAUAACCUAACACAGCCCUCCAUCUAGGGGAAGAAACAGUGUCUAGAAUAGAA